GGCUCAGGACGAACGCUGGCGGCGUGCCUAAUACAUGCAAGUCGAACGCGUUUCCGUUAUUGAUUUUAGAUGCUUGCAUUUAAAUGAUUUAACACGAAACGAGUGGCGAACUGGUGAGUAACACGUGGGUAACCUGCCCUUGAAGUAGGGGAUAACACUUGGAAACAGGUGCUAAUACCGUAUAACAACCAAAACCACAUGGUUUUGGUUUAAAAGAUGGCUUCGGCUAUCACUUUAGGAUGGACCCGCGGCGUAUUAGCUUGUUGGUAAGGUAAUGGCCUACCAAGGCAAUGAUACGUAGCCGACCUGAGAGGGUAAUCGGCCACAUUGGGACUGAGACACGGCCCAAACUCCUACGGGAGGCAGCAGUAGGGAAUCUUCCACAAUGGACGAAAGUCUGAUGGAGCAACGCCGCGUGAGUGAUGAAGGGUUUCGGCUCGUAAAACUCUGUUGUUGGAGAAGAACAGGUGUCAGAGUAACUGUUGACAUCUUGACGGUAUCCAACCAGAAAGCCACGGCUAACUACGUGCCAGCAGCCGCGGUAAUACGUAGGUGGCAAGCGUUGUCCGGAUUUAUUGGGCGUAAAGCGAGCGCAGGCGGUUUCUUAGGUCUGAUGUGAAAGCCUUCGGCUUAACCGGAGAAGUGCAUCGGAAACCAGGAGACUUGAGUGCAGAAGAGGACAGUGGAACUCCAUGUGUAGCGGUGAAAUGCGUAGAUAUAUGGAAGAACACCAGUGGCGAAGGCGGCUGUCUGGUCUGUAACUGACGCUGAGGCUCGAAAG
RNAcentral lists this ribosomal RNA (781 nucleotides) under Lentilactobacillus kefiri. RNAcentral describes it as "bacterial SSU rRNA". It matches the Rfam family "Bacterial small subunit ribosomal RNA", at positions 21 to 759 of the family's 1533-position model. Lineage: Bacteria; Bacillati; Bacillota; Bacilli; Lactobacillales; Lactobacillaceae. The record is from RNAcentral.